CCAGUAUAUCAUUCUCAUACAGACUCUUCCAUAUCACGUAUUUCAGUCUCAUAUGCAGUAAUAUAGGUUGAUACUUUCCAUAUUUGGGCUCCUGUAUCAGCAGGAGGGACAAAGAGAAGUUGGACUUGCUUACCGCUUGCAAACUCUCUCUUCUCAAGAGUUCCUGAUAGGGACACUGAACUUUAAAAGGCAAGAAUCUCCUCCUGAGUUUGUCAAAUGCUAUUCUGAGACCCAAUGUGGAAUACAAUCAUCUUAUCACAUGAUGCUGGCAAAUGGAUUACACAGAACUGAAGACACGUAGGAAGGAUCCUACACAUCUUGGUAAGAGCCAUAUGAGGCAUCUUAACAAUUUCUGAAAAUCUUCCGAUUACCUGCUUAUUCCAGCACCACUUGCUGCUCCCACUCACCAUGCCGGAGGGAUGCUGAUCCAAAGCUUUUGAAAGGUAUGUGAAUAGCUAAAUUUGAUGUCAUUCAUUAGCAAAGGUAAGAGGGGAUCUGUAGCUGAAUGGCAAUGCUGUGCACCUUUGGCUGAUAGGUGGGGCAAGCUAACUCCAUGGAGUGUUCUGUUAGAAGGAUACCAGGUGGAUGGCUGGUGAAGACGGCAGGAAUUUUUGGUUCCCACAUCCAGUCAGAGCAGAAAGUACUAGGCAGGAUGGACUAAUGGUUUGUCUAAUUCAUUACACAUUGUAAAAAUCUUGCUGUCUGGCUUAUCUAUUGUGGGUCUUUUUCCGAUUUUCAUAUUUCUUCUCAAUCUCAAUUUUACUUGAGUUUUAUUUUAUUCACUUUUGUUAAAAAUCACAUUUUAAUAAUAAUAAAAAAACAGAUACCUUCCCAAUUCACUCUGGCUUUUGUUUUCCUAAACACAAGAGCUGUUCAACUCCUUCUCCCACUCCUCCUCUUCUCCUCCACCCAACCAUUCUACCCUCAAUGUCUGCAACACGAGAGGUUAGUGGUCUGAGGUCCAGAACUUCAAUCAUCCCCAUAAUACUUUGGAAUGCUUUUGUCUAUCAUCAUUACAUAUAUAGUUACUUUCCCCAUAAAAUCAGUUUUGGUUUUGAUGCUUUUCUAAGUGUCUCCUCUCACAUGAAACACCCAACUAUUUUCUGCAGAAGUUCAAGCAAGAUAGCUCUGGUGGCAGAUAACAAGGUCCUGGCAUUGCGUUUUUCAGGUUGAGUUUUUUCGGGUUAUGGACGUGCCAAAACCCGGAAGUACUGGAAUGGGUUACUAUUCGGUUUCGACGGUUGCGUGUGCACAGAAGCACUAAAUCGUGCUUUGGGCAUGCGCAGAAGAACCGAAUCGCAACCCACGCAUGCGAAGACGCACCACUGCAGGUUGCAAAUACUGCGGGUUACAAACGUGCAUCUUGCACGGAUCAAGUUCCCAAUCCAAGUGUCCACUAUACACCAUUCUCAUACAGAGUCUUCUAUAUCACAUAUUUAAGUCUCAUGUGCAGUAGUAUCAAGUUGAUACUUCCCAUGUUUGGGCUCCUGUAUCUCAAACUAUACCACCACUAAGAACCAGGUGGAAGGGGACAUGAUGUAGGUCUCUCUCUCUCUCACACACACACACACACAGAGAGAGAGAGAGAGAGAGAGAGAGAGAGAGAGAAAUACCAUCUCUUGUUCUGGCUAGAUUGCAGCCUUAUUCAGAUUGAGCAUUUAUUUUUUUCCUCUGCCAGGACUUCAACCGCCCAUAAACUGGACCGUGACAGGUAUUUGUUCUACUCUGAACUCAGUAACUUAUUAUUAUAAAUCUACUUGUUAAUAUCCACAGAUUGUAUAUCUCUGGGGAGACAGAGAGGUAAACCCUCUUUCCAUUAUUUUCAAUGGCAGAAUUAUAUAUUAAUAUUAUUUUUUGAAUUCAUAUAAUGUCCUAUAGCUGGAGGUCUCUGAUGAGUGAUGCUGGCAGUUCUUUGUGGUUCUUUUACUUUGUUCUUGGCUAUUAUUAUUUAUUAUUAUUAUUAAUAAUAAUAAUAAUAAUAAUAAUAAUAAUAAUAAUAUCUGCUAUACCAGCUUAUGCAGUGACAGUGGUGGGGCUCCCUGACCGAAAGUCAAGCAUUUUUCUAAUUAAAAAUUCCCAUUGGCCAUACUCCAUAAGCUCGGAGAGUGGAGAAAAUAAAUAUUUGUCGUAAGCUCACCUAACUCUGCUCCACUUCCCACUGAUCCUGAAGCCAUCGUACAACAUAUAUAUAUAUAUAUAUAUAUAUAUAUAUAUAUAUAUAUAUCACAAACAUAAAACACAUCAUAAGUCAUGAAGGGAAACUGAAGAGUUGGCCUUUAUGAAGAGCUUGUUUUAUGAAUUAUUUUCUUAUUAUGAUGUGUCUUGUGUUUGAUACACCCUUGUAUGCAUAUCAUUUAUUGUGUACUCACAAUGCUGUUAACUGGCUUGAACAUGGGAAGAUAAAGGUAAAACAUGGCAUCAUCAGUAAGGAUAUUUUUGUAUCCUGGUUGCCUGGUUCCUUCUGCCUAGAACUUGCUUACCCACUUUCCUUAAGAACUCCUUUGUAUGACAUGAAGCUUUAGAAGUUAACAUUCUCCUCCUACAGAAGCCAUAUUGAUAACCAAUGGUGGGGGGAAAUCUUACCACGUGAUAUUGAGAAGCUGCUGAAGAACAGAUAAAAAUUAGUGGCUGGAGCGCUGAACAUCUAGCUGGAAGCUUGACGAAACACCUGCUGUUUCUUUGGAGUUACAUUCAUUUCUGAAAAUGCUCUGUCCCCCUACUUUUAUCAGCACAGAAUAUUCUACUUCCUUCUGCCUUCCACACACCAUCUCCUAAGCGGGGGGGGGGGGUCAAUAACUGGGCUCCUCUUAAACUGAUUCAUUUUGGACUUGAACAAACUAAUUGCCCCAGCACAAUGCUCUAAUGCGCUUAUCCAACCCACUGGCAGCAAGCAGCUCACCCAUUCUAAAAGUGACAUCAACAGCUAACAGAAUGUCAGCCUAAACAGGGAACACUCACUAUCAGAAUGGCACGAAACAACCAGUGGCUUUUGGGGGGAAAUUACUUUCCUCAAAUCUAGCUCAUGCAGUCUCUCUCUCUCUCUCUCUCUGUGUGUGUGUGUGUGUGUGUGUGUGUGUGAGAGAGAGAGAGAGAGAGAGAGAGAGAGAGAGAGAGAGAGCUCCACAACUCAAACCUACAGCACUCAGUUACGAUGCUUUCAAAAGAUUUUCACUUCUAACUAUAUCUCUCUUGUUCUUUUUUGUUUUUUAACUAAUUUUUAUUCUUUUUCAUUGAAAAUCUUCCAAUUAAUGACAAAUCAAAGCAAAUCAUUCCAUAUUACAAUAAUAGCAGUACCACCAAUUAUAUAUUCUCCACAACCCAACCAAUGUCUACGACACAAGAUAUUAGUUUCUGAUCUGAAGGCUGAGUCAGAGAGCAGAGGAAGAGAAAUUGAGUUCUAAAAUGAUAUGCUUACUGAUGUUGUGAAUGUAGUUUUUUUCACUCAGAGGAAAGAUCCACAACACAUCGGCGAACUCCAUUUCCCUCCAAAGCCUUGGAAACUGAUAAGUUGUGACAAACAUUCCAAAGAACUAUAUUCCUAAAGUGUUUGUUUAUCAGUCAUGAAUUCCCACUAUAGCAUGUCUCUUUUAUUAUUGUUUGAGUGCCUCAGUUUAAUAUGGUUGGGCUUAUAAGCCAAAACUGACUUCACAUUUGUUUAUUUUCUCCAGGUAGGAAGAGCAAUACAAGGAGUAGCUCAAAAGUAGAGAUCCUGCAAGAUGAGCAAUGAUGGCCUGGGAUCCAGGUCCCCUUGGAAUGCCUCAUGGGAAGACAUUGGAGCAGAAAAUCGAACUGACCUCCUAACCUCCCAGGAUGGUUUUGAUCACGAAUCAUCACUAUAUCUUACAGCAGUAAAUAUUCUAUAUUUCUUAAUUCUAGGUAUUAGCAUUUUUGGACUUAUGGGGAAUGGGACUGUCAUCUGGUUUCUUGGUUUUUGCAUGAAGAGGAAUCCUUUCACACUUUCAUACUAAAUCUGGCUGUUGCUGACCUUGGGGCCCUCAUUUGCUUAUCUUCUUAUUUGAUUGUGUAUCUUGUGGUGUCAUUUUCAUCCUUCUCUGUGGAUAUUAACUUGUGUGUACAGUUGUUUGAGUUUUUCUUGUUGUUCAUGUACAACACUGGUCAAUCCCUGUUGACGGCCAUUAGCAUGGACAGGUGUGUUUCUAUUGUUUUCCCCCUUUGGCAUAGAUGCCACCGACCACCACACUUUUCCACCUUUGUGUGUGCCACAAUAUGGAUCAUUUCUUUCCUGUUCUGUGUAAUAGACUUGAUUCUUUUUAUUUUUAAUAUUUUUCUGGAACUCCUUUUCUACCAGCUUCUGUUAAAUGCUGUUCUUUUCCUCCCACUUAUGACUGUCUCCUCUCUGAUCCUGUUUAUAAAAGUUUGGUUUCAAUCACAACAGAGGAAGAAGGGAAAAGCUUUAACAGCCAUCCUACUUGCCCUCAUAAUCUUCCUCUUCUUAGCUUUCCCAUUUACUUGCAUUUCAUUAAUCUAUUUUUUCAAUCCACCUUUGGACUGUCAUGUUUCAUCUUUUAAAGUAUCUGUUGUGUUAUUAUGCACCUGCCUGAAUAGCAGUAUUAACCCACUGAUUUAUUUCCUGAUUGGGAGAAACAAGAGGGCUCAGUCUAGGGAGAGCAUGAAGGUCAUACUCCAGACACUUUUCAAAGAGGAGGAAAACUGCAGAGAGGAACAAGAAGUUCCAGUUCAAACCCAGAUGUGAAGAAAUACUUCAAAAUAGCUCAGAAAGCUUCAUUUUCUAUCUCUUGGUGUAUUUCUUGGUACUUAUUUUCCCCUGUACUCACUAUUUUAUUAUUUUGGAUUCAUUUACUCUGUUAAUUUUUGUCCUCAUUUCUGGAGUAUCGUUAAAAGCCCCAUGGAUUGCCCAUUUGGCAGGAUUAAUGCUUUGUAUGUUUUAGAAAAUUAAAUAAAAAUAAAUGCCGCUUUAACAGUGUGAGUUGAGUGGGAUGACUUGCUAAAUGGUAUAGAAAACAGACUCAUUGCCAAAGGGAAUGAAGUAAAGAAAUCUUCACAUGUAGAGCUCGAAUGUUUGAAGAAAAUAGAAGAAAACAUUUUCUCCAGAUUUUUUUAAAAGUGCAUGAUAGUUAAUUCCACCAGUACAAUCCCUAUUUUCUGUGGUAUUUUUCUAGAAAAAGAACUGCAAAUAUUCAACAUGAAGGCCUCCCUUGUUCUCUUAUAACAGCCAUGGCACCCACCUGAGGCGUGUGGAAAUUGAGCUCUGG
Podarcis lilfordi (Lilford's wall lizard) is the source of this 5234-nucleotide non-coding RNA. NCBI's taxonomy places the organism in Eukaryota, Metazoa, Chordata, Lepidosauria, Squamata, Lacertidae. The record is from the annotation of a GenBank genome assembly.